RNAcentral lists this ribosomal RNA (335 nucleotides) under uncultured bacterium. Its description in RNAcentral is "bacterial SSU rRNA". It matches the Rfam family "Bacterial small subunit ribosomal RNA", at positions 335 to 672 of the family's 1533-position model. The record is from RNAcentral.
ACUCCUACGGGAGGCAGCAGUAAGGAAUAUUGCGCAAUGGACGAAAGUCUGACGCAGCGACGCCGCGUGGGGGAUGAAGGUCUUCGGAUUGUAAACCCCUUUCGGCAGGGAAGAUGGAACGGGUAACCGUUCGGACGGUACCUGCAGAAGCAGCCACGGCUAACUUCGUGCCAGCAGCCGCGGUAAUACGAAGGUGGCAAGCGUUGUUCGGAUUCACUGGGCGUACAGGGAGCGUAGGCGGUUGGGUAAGCCCUCCGUGAAAUCUCCGGGCCUAACCCGGAAAGUGCAGAGGGGACUGCUCGGCUAGAGGAUGGGAGAGGAGCGCGGAAUUCCCG